CAUAACCUGAGAUGUGCGUUUGGUUUAUUUAAUUACUUCCACAAUAUGACAUACGGGAUUUCAGCAUUGAUGAUGUGGAUGUCGGGCCACCUCGAGUGGAUGGCAGAAGCAGUCUCCGAGAAAACCCACCUAGCUAUACAGCUGGGAGUCACUUAUAAACUGAAGGCCUCUUGGGCUUUUU
This 181-nucleotide small RNA is filed under the name Eubacteriales bacterium. Its description in RNAcentral is "6S RNA". The record is from RNAcentral. Lineage: Bacteria; Bacillati; Bacillota; Clostridia; Eubacteriales.